AUUGAACGCUGGCGGAAUGCUUUACACAUGCAAGUCGAACGGCAGCACGGACUUCGGUCUGGUGGCGAGUGGCGAACGGGUGAGUAACAUAUCGGAACGUAUCCAAUAAUGGGGGAUAACUAAUCGAAAGGUUGGCUAAUACCGCAUACGCCCUACGGGGGAAAGCAGGGGAUCUUCGGACCUUGCGUUAAUGGAGCGGCUGAUAUCUGAUUAGCUAGUUGGUGAGGUAAAGGCUCACCAAGGCGACGAUCAGUAGCUGGUCUGAGAGGACGACCAGCCACACUUGAACUGAGACACGGUCCAGACUCCUACGGGAGGCAGCAGUGGGGAAUUUUGGACAAUGGGCGCAAGCCUGAUCCAGCCAUUCCGCGUGAGUGAAGAAGGCCUUCGGGUUGUAAAGCUCUUUCGCAAGGGAAGAAAACUUACUUUCUAAUAAAGAGUGAGGUUGACGGUACCUUGUUAAGAAGCACCGGCUAACUACGUGCCAGCAGCCGCAGUAA
RNAcentral lists this ribosomal RNA (500 nucleotides) under uncultured bacterium. RNAcentral's name for it is "partial 16S ribosomal RNA". It matches the Rfam family "Bacterial small subunit ribosomal RNA", at positions 30 to 523 of the family's 1533-position model. The record is from RNAcentral.